Callithrix jacchus (white-tufted-ear marmoset) is the source of this 109-nucleotide Y RNA. It matches the Rfam family "Y RNA". From Rfam's summary of the family: Y RNAs are components of the Ro ribonucleoprotein particle (Ro RNP), in association with Ro60 and La proteins. The Y RNAs and Ro60 and La proteins are well conserved, but the function of the Ro RNP is not known. In humans the RNA component can be one of four small RNAs -- hY1, hY3, hY4 and hY5. The record is from Ensembl. NCBI's taxonomy places the organism in Eukaryota, Metazoa, Chordata, Mammalia, Primates, Cebidae.
GUCUGGUCUGAAGGGAGUGAGUUAUCUCGAUUGUUCACAGUCAGUUACAGAUCGGACUCCUUGUUCUACUCUUUCCCCCCUUCUCACUACUGCACUUGACUAGUCUUUU